This 443-nucleotide ribosomal RNA is filed under the name uncultured bacterium. RNAcentral describes it as "partial 16S ribosomal RNA". It matches the Rfam family "Bacterial small subunit ribosomal RNA", at positions 338 to 795 of the family's 1533-position model. The record is from RNAcentral.
CCUACGGGAGGCAGCAGUGGGGAAUAUUGGGUAAUGGGCGCAAGCCUGACCCAGCAACGCCGCGUGAAGGACGACGGCUUUCGGGUUGUAAACUUCUUUUCUCAGGGACGAAGAAAGUGACGGUACCUGAGGAAUAAGCCACGGCUAACUACGUGCCAGCAGCGGCGGUAAUACGUAGGUGGCAAGCGUUAUCCGGAUUUACUGGGUGUAAAGGGCGUGUGGGUUGGAAAGCAAGUCAGAUGUGAAAACCAUGGGCUCAACCUGGGGCCUGCAUUUGAAACUGUAUGUCUAGAGUACUGGUGAGGCAGACGGAAUGUCUAGUGUAGCGGUGAAAUGCGUAGAUAUUAGGAGGAACACCAGUGGCGAAGGCGGUCUGCUGGACAGCAACUGACGCUGAGGCGCGAAAGCGUGGGGAGCAAACAGGAUUAGAUACCCGAGUAGUC